RNAcentral lists this ribosomal RNA (406 nucleotides) under uncultured bacterium. Its description in RNAcentral is "partial 16S ribosomal RNA". It matches the Rfam family "Bacterial small subunit ribosomal RNA", at positions 29 to 526 of the family's 1533-position model. The record is from RNAcentral.
AGUGAACGCUGGCGGUAGGCCUAACACAUGCAAGUCGAACGAGUGGCGGACGGGUGAGGAAUACAUCGGAAUCUACUCUGUCGUGGGGGAUAACGUAGGGAAACUUACGCUAAUCCCGCAUACGUUUGUAUGAGCCGAUGUUGGAUUAGCUAGUUGGCGGGGUAAAGGCCCACCAAGGCGACGAUCCGUAGCGGGUCUGAGAGGAUGAAGGGCAAAAAUGUAGCUAGGACACGGUCCAGACUCCUAUGGGAGGCAGCAGUGGGGAAUAUUGGACAAUGGGAGCAAGCCGGAUCCAGCCAUACCGCGUGGGUGAAGAAGGCCUUCGGGUUGUAAAGCCCUUUUGUUGGGAAGGCGGUACCCAAAGAAUAAGCACCGGCUAACUUCGUGCCAGCAGCCGCGGUAAUAC